RNAcentral lists this small nucleolar RNA (84 nucleotides) under Escovopsis weberi. RNAcentral describes it as "A. fumigatus snoRNA Afu_300". It matches the Rfam family "A. fumigatus snoRNA Afu_300". The record is from Rfam by way of RNAcentral. Lineage: Eukaryota; Fungi; Ascomycota; Sordariomycetes; Hypocreales; Hypocreaceae.
CAUCAUGAUGAUCAACUCUUUCAAAUAUACGCUGGAAAUUACCGGCUGAAUUACAUUGACGACAUAAAAUGGCUAUGACUGAUC